UUCCGGUUGAUCCCGCCGGACCUGACUGCUAUCGGAUUGAUACUAAGCCAUGCUAGUCUUUGUAGUAAUACAAGGCAUACGGCUCAGUAACGCGUAGUCAACCUACCCUAUGGACGGGGAUAAUCUCGGGAAACUGAGCAUAAUACCCGGUAGACCACUUCUCCUGGAAUGGUUAGUGGUUAAAAUGAUUCGUCGCCAUAGGAUGGGACUGCGGCCUAUCAGCUUGUUGGUGAGGUAAUGGCCCACCAAGGCGAUUACAGGUACGGGCUCUGAGAGGAGAAGCCCGGAGAUGGGUACUGAGACAAGGACCCAGGCCCUAUGGGGCGCAGCAGGCGAGAAAACUUUGCAAUGUGCGAAAGCACGACAAGGUUAAUCCGAGUGAUUUCUGCUAAAGGAAUCUUUUGUUAGUUCUAAAUCUACUAGUGAAUAAGGGGUGGGCAAGUUCUGGUGUCAGCCGCCGCGGUAAAACCAGCACCUCAAGUGGUCAGGAGGAUUAUUGGGCCUAAAGCAUCCGUAGCCUGUUCUAUAAGUUUGCGGUUAAAUCUAUACGCUCAACGUAUAGGCUGCCGUAAAUACUGUAGAACUAGGGAGUGGGAGAGGUAGACGGUACUCGGUAGGAAGGGGUAAAAUCCUUUGAUCUAUUGAUGACCACCUGUGGCGAAGGCGGUCUACCAGAACACGUUCGACGGUGAGGGAUGAAAGCUGGGGGAGCAAACCGGAUUAGAUACCCGGGUAGUCCCAGCUGUAAACGAUGCAGACUCGAUGAUGCAAUGGCAUAGAGCUAUUGCAGUAUCGCAGGGAAGCCGUUAAGUCUGCCGCCUGGGAAGUACGUACGCAAGUAUGAAACUUAAAGGAUUGGCGGGGGAGCACCACAAGGGGUGAAGCCUGCGGUUCAAUUGGAUUCAACGCCGGG
RNAcentral lists this ribosomal RNA (913 nucleotides) under uncultured marine archaeon. Its description in RNAcentral is "bacterial SSU rRNA". It matches the Rfam family "Archaeal small subunit ribosomal RNA", at positions 1 to 922 of the family's 1478-position model. The record is from RNAcentral.